Long non-coding RNA from Equus caballus (horse), 1808 nucleotides. Lineage: Eukaryota; Metazoa; Chordata; Mammalia; Perissodactyla; Equidae. The record is from Ensembl.
GGUGAGCAAAACCUCAGUGUCAGAUGGAACACACUGUGAUGACCUGUGGAUAGAAGUUUUUUUUCUUUUCCAGUCGACUUGCUAAUGUCUGCUGGCGUUCUUUUAGCUAAAGUCUUGAGAUCUGCUCCUGGGCCAGGAGGUGGGGAGACAAUGCAGAAAUUGCUUCCUCUGGAACAGCCUUCAUUGGAAUUCUGCGAAAGUGAAGGCCAUUUGGAACUUAGAGAGAGAGAUGGUUCUGGCCAAUCAGGAAGGAAAAUGGUGUCUGGAGGCAGGGAGACCUGGAGCGGAUCCCAGCUCUGCCACAUCUGGAGAGUCUAACUUCAGGUGCUGACUGUCUUCGAGCAGACUGACCCUCUCUCUGGACCUUGGAUCUCUGGCCAUGGGGAUACGGUGAAGCCACGGCGAUGAGCUUUGCUCCUGAUGCACUGUCUGAUGCUGGGCCAGACUCCACCUCUCCCUCACUCCGGCCUCUGUCUUCUCUGCCUAUUUGGUCAAGAGAAAAAAACUCUCAUCAGCCUCUUGCCUUCCAAAGCGACGCACAGAUGAAGCAGAGGAGACAUCAUCAAUGCCACUUUUACGGUGUCGUGAAAGGGCAUUACCGUGGAGAGGCUGUCGGAGGGGAGGCGCUCUGGAAGAGAGGGGGCCGAGUCCUGGGGGCCGGCUCGGUGGGUUUUCUCCCUGCCGGUGUGAGUCUGGAGGAGCUAGGACAAUUAGGCGGCAGGGGCAGCCUGGAAUCCUUUGCGUCUUCUGGAACAGCUGCUUAAAUACACAGCCCCGCAAUCAACAGGCCGCCCCCUGUCAUCGGAGAGGCUGCGGGGCUGGCCGCCAUGAGAUGAGGCCCCGCCGCCUCUCAUCUCCGAGCUCUGUCCUGGACCCCAGGGCCGGGCAGCAGGCCGGGGCGGGUCUGCACACCGCUCCUCCCGAGGAUGAGGAUGGGGUGGGCAGGAGGUGGCACCGUCUCGAGACAUCCCACCAUGAGGCUCAGGACAUCAUUCAGCACUGCCAAGUGGCUUCUCAGCCCCAGUCGUCUUAAUUCAAGUUGUCAUUCAUAGACUCGCAGAAAACUAAAAUCAAUAAGUGGUGAAAAUGGGCUUUAAAGGCAAAGUCAAGUCACAGAGGACAGAGGAAAACAUUUUUUGCCUUGAGGGGUGACAUUUUCCUGCCUGUUUAGAAUGGCUGGCCCUGGGGCCUGUGUUUAAAAAAACUUGGGGGGGGGGCAGGGGAGAGGGGAGAAAGUGAGUGAAUUUUCCUUUUAAAGUUGCACAGGUGUCCAUUGGACAAGACCUCAGUGGUGGGCCACCAUUUGAUUGGGCCACAGAGAACAAUGAGGAUGAUGGUAUUUUGGAUGGGUCUGUAUUUUACCCCAAGGCCACAGCACAUAUGUUUUGUGAUGUCUGUCUGCUGAUUGCUGUGUCACUUCCUGCCAGUUGACGUACUUCUCUGGGUCAUAGUCUUCUUAACCAGAAAAUGGAGUCAGACAAGAUGCAAUGAUUUUCAGCUUGUUGGGUGGUGAGAAACCAUAGCAGAUGUGCCAUGGGGACAUCAGGGUGGCAGUUGAGGUCAGGGGUUAGGGCUCUGGUCCUUUUGCCUUGAUAGGUGCUCAGCCGAAGAUUUCAUCUGAAUUUAGAAUUUUGUGGCAGAGAUAAAAGUUUGGGGAAAAAAAUCACUGGAGUUUGGGUUUCCAAAUUUCCUCCACUUCUGAGGGGCUACGAACAUCUGUGGCAUGCCUAUAAGUUGUUCCUGGAAACCCAGCUUGGAUUAAUUCCACCUUCUUCCGGUGACCAGGGUAGGCCAGCAGGAGCAGAGAG